UACGGAGGGGGCAAGCGUUGUUCGGAAUUACUGGGCGUAAAGGGCGCGCAGGCGGCUGCUCAAGUCAGGCGUGAAAGGCCUGGGCUCAACCCGGGAAUUGCGCUUGAGACUGGGCUGGCUUGAGUGCGGGAGAGGAUGGUGGAAUUCCAGGUGUAGCGGUGAAAUGCGUAGAUAUCUGGAGGAACACCGGUGGCGAAGGCGGCAUCCUGGACCAACACUGACACUGAGGAGCGAAAGCCAGGGGAGCAAACGGG
RNAcentral lists this ribosomal RNA (254 nucleotides) under uncultured bacterium. RNAcentral's name for it is "partial 16S ribosomal RNA". It matches the Rfam family "Bacterial small subunit ribosomal RNA", at positions 524 to 776 of the family's 1533-position model. The record is from RNAcentral.